Molecule: ribosomal RNA, 254 nt
Filed under: uncultured bacterium
Lineage: Bacteria
Description: partial 16S ribosomal RNA
Rfam family: Bacterial small subunit ribosomal RNA
Source: RNAcentral
UACGUAGGCAGCGAGCGUUGUUCGGAGUUACUGGGCGUAAAGAGUGCGUAGGCGGUUGGCUAAGUUUGGUGUGAAAUCUCCCGGCUCAACUGGGAGGGUGCGCCGAAAACUGGCUGGCUGGAGUGUGGGAGAGGCUAGCGGAAUUCCGUGGUGUAGCGGUGAAAUGCGUAGAUAUCAGGAGGAACACCUGCGGUGUAGACGGCUGGCUGGACCACUACUGACGCUGAGGCACGAAAGCGUGGGGAGCAAACAGG